Molecule: non-coding RNA, 148 nt
Organism: Gossypium hirsutum (cotton)
Lineage: Eukaryota; Viridiplantae; Streptophyta; Magnoliopsida; Malvales; Malvaceae
Source: Rfam
UAUUAAAAAUUUCAUCCUUUUGUAUGGUUAAAAACUAACGUGGUUGACAGAAUAACCAAACAAUGACAUGUGACAACGUGUCACAUGUAUUUCAUGCUAACAUACAAAAACUAAUUUUUAAUAGUAGACAUAGAUGAUAUUUUUAACA